Small nuclear RNA from Perognathus longimembris pacificus (Pacific pocket mouse), 103 nucleotides. The record is from RefSeq and is a predicted model, not a curated record. Lineage: Eukaryota; Metazoa; Chordata; Mammalia; Rodentia; Heteromyidae.
GUGUCCCUUCGGCAGCACAGAUACUAAAACUGGAUCGAUACAGAGAAGAUGAGCAUGACCCCUGUGCAGGAUGAUGCAAAUUCAUGAAGCGUUCCACAUUUAA